Molecule: ribosomal RNA, 373 nt
Filed under: uncultured bacterium
Lineage: Bacteria
Description: bacterial SSU rRNA
Rfam family: Bacterial small subunit ribosomal RNA
Source: RNAcentral
GUAGGGGGCUAGCGUUGUCCGGAUUUAUUGGGCGUAAAGAGCGCGUAGGCGGCCGAGUAAGUCCGACGUGAAAUCUGGAGGCUCAACCUCCAGCGGUCGUUGGAAACUAUUCGGCUAGAGUCCGGAAGAGGAGAGUGGAAUUCCUGGUGUAGCGGUGAAAUGCGCAGAUAUCAGGAAGAACACCGAUGGCGAAAGCAGCUCUCUGGGACGGUACUGACGCUGAGGCGCGAAAGCGUGGGGAGCGAACAGGAUUAGAUACCCUGGUAGUCCACGCCGUAAACGAUGGGUGCUAGGUGUGAGCGGUGUCGACUCCGCUCGUGCCGAAGCUAACGCAUUAAGCACCCCGCCUGGGGAGUACGGCCGCAAGGCUAAA